GAUGAAGAACGCAGCGAAAUGCGAUAAGUAAUGUGAAUUGCAGAAUUCAGUGAAUCAUCGAAUCUUUGAACGCACAUUGCGCCCGCCAGUAUUCUGGCGGGCAUGCCUGUUCGAGCGUCAUUUCAACCAUCAAGCCCCAGGCUUGUGUUGGGGACCUGCGGCUGCCGCAGGCCCUGAAAACCAGUGGCGGGCUCGCUGUCACACCGAGCGUAGUAGCAUACAUCUCGCUCUGGGCGUGCUGCGGGUUCCGGCCGUUAAACCACCUUCAUAACCCAAGGUUGACCUCGGAUCAGGUAGGAAGACCCGCUGAACUUAAGCAUAUCAAUAAGCGGAGGA
This 336-nucleotide unclassified non-coding RNA is filed under the name soil metagenome. Its description in RNAcentral is "partial contains 5.8S ribosomal RNA, internal transcribed spacer 2, and large subunit ribosomal RNA". The stretch from base 1 to 120 matches the Rfam family "5.8S ribosomal RNA", at positions 35 to 154 of the family's 154-position model. The record is from RNAcentral.